This 433-nucleotide ribosomal RNA is filed under the name uncultured bacterium. RNAcentral describes it as "partial 16S ribosomal RNA". It matches the Rfam family "Bacterial small subunit ribosomal RNA", at positions 29 to 507 of the family's 1533-position model. The record is from RNAcentral.
AACGAACGCUGGCGGCAUGCCUAACACAUGCAAGUCGAACGAGACCUUCGGGUCUAGUGGCGCACGGGUGUGUAACGCGUGGGAACCUGACCUUAUGUUCGGACUAACUCCCCGAAAGGGGUGCUAAUACCGGAUAAUGUCUACGGCCCAAAGAUUUAUCGACUUUGGAUGGACACUAGUUGGAUUAGCUAGUUGGUAGGGUAAAAGCCUAAUCAGGCGACGAUCCAUACCUGGUCUGAGUGGAUGAUCAGCCACACUGGGACUGAGACACGGCCCAGACUCCUACGGGAGGCAGCAGUGGGGAAUAGUGGACAAUGGGCGAAAGCCUGAUCCAGCAAUGCCGCGUGAGUGAUGAAGGCCUUAGGGUUGUAAAGCUCUUUUACACGGGAGGAUAAUGACAGUACCGGGAGAAUAAGCUCCGGCUAACUCCGUG